CGGCGGACGGGUGAGUAACACGUGGAUAACCUACCUAUAAGACUGGGAUAACUUCUGGAAACCGGAGCUAAUACCGGAUAAUAUAUUUAACCGCAUGGUUCAAUGGUGAAAGACGGUUUUGCUGUCACUUAUAGAUGGAUCCGCGCCGCAUUAGCUAGUUGGUAAGGUAACGGCUUACCAAGGCAACGAUGCGUAGCCGACCUGAGAGGGUGAUCGGCCACACUGGAACUGAGACACGGUCCAGACUCCUACGGGAGGCAGCAGGU
RNAcentral lists this ribosomal RNA (266 nucleotides) under uncultured Staphylococcus sp. Its description in RNAcentral is "partial 16S ribosomal RNA". It matches the Rfam family "Bacterial small subunit ribosomal RNA", at positions 96 to 354 of the family's 1533-position model. Lineage: Bacteria; Bacillati; Bacillota; Bacilli; Caryophanales; Staphylococcaceae. The record is from RNAcentral.